CAAACUUAUAUACUUAUUUAUUAUCUUUAAUUUGGCUAAACUUAUCCAAUUUUCUAAUGUGACUAUUCAGGAACACUUGUUUUGCAAAUCAAACAUUUCUGUUGAAAGAAAGUUUGCUAGAAGAAAACAUUAAACAAAUGUUACAUUACAAUAUACCAAAUACAAAGUUUAAGAAACAGAACAGUGGCUCGUGUCUAAACAAGUGUAAGAACCACUUUCUAGGAAGCCAAUGCAAGAUCAAAGUAAAUAUUUUUUUAAAUAUUAAUAUAUUUUACAUACAUAGAAAACAAGGGUUUAUUAUCUGAAAUAAAUGCAUUCAAAUUAACAAGCUAAGUUAUUUACAGUAUUUUUAAAAGUGGUGUUUCAGAGAUAUUUUCUGACACAAAAAUUGAGCUGAUGAAACAAGCGCAAGGGGAAGGACAAGAUCUAAUGCUAAAAAUGUCUUAUAUUUACAGUGAAUAUGCACUGCUACCAGACAUAAAACUAAAAUGUUGUUUAUCUAUUCGACAAAAAAUGCCAUUCAUCAUUAAUAGUUAACCUCUAAAUUUACCACAGAUGCUGGAUCAGUUAAGGUGUUGUUGAACUUACUUAUACUUUAAAGGCCUUUAUGCUUAAGAUGAUUUAGGCUAAAAUGUGUUACUUUAGUUAUUACAAGGAAUAUAAUUUCAUUACAAUACAUAAAUAUACAAAGGGGAUUUUAUCAAUAGUCAUUAAUUUUGAACAGAAAGGUUCAAAGUAAUCAUUAAAAGAGUUAAAUUCAUUCAUAUUAGAUCUUUGAAAUCAUUAGUCAACUCAGUGAAUCAGGCCUAUGGUGCAUACACUUGUGCAUACGCAAGUAAAGCCAAGCAGUACACAACUGCUGUAAGAAAGCUGUAAAACCAGAUUUUAUUUUGCUUAGGUAAGGACUCUUUUGAUUAAAUCAGAAACUAAGUCUGUCCUAUAAGAAUCUGUAAGAAAUUAUAAGAAGUUGUAAUGUGGUGAUAAGUGACCAAGUUUAUAAAUAAACAUUUUUAUUUCUGCCAACCAACUAUUGUCUCUAAUAGCACAGAGAAGCUAUACAACUCUUAAAAGACAGGCACUAGUUUCCUAACUUGGAAGCUCUACACACACUUUAUGUCUUGACUUUAAAAUUCAUAGUGCUUAUUUUAAACAUCACCUGAAAAAACUUUCUUUGUUGCUAUCUUCACUGUGUAUGCAAACAGCAACAUAUUGUUUUCCAAUAUGAGAAACUAUUUAUUCAAAGUGGCAUCUGGAUUAUUACAUUUUUUCUGUAUUUAAAAUUGGAAAUAAAUUGCAUUAUCUCUGAAACUGCUG
This 1314-nucleotide long non-coding RNA is filed under the name Strigops habroptila (Kakapo). Its description in RNAcentral is "lncRNA (ENSSHBG00005004171.1)". The record is from RNAcentral. Lineage: Eukaryota; Metazoa; Chordata; Aves; Psittaciformes; Psittacidae.